GCUUUACUGUAACUUGAAAUUGAAAUUGGACUUUAUUUGCGCAGUAUAGGUGGGAGGCGUUGAGUUUAUUCUUGCGGGAAUUUAGGAGCCAUCAGUGAGAUACCACUCUGGUAAUGUUAGAUUUCUAACUUUGUAUCAUGAUCUGGUCAAAGAACAGUUUCAGGCGGGCAGUUUGACUGGGGCGGUCGCCUCCCAAAUGGUAACGGAGGCGUACAAAGGUUUCCUCUGAACGUGUAGAAAUCGUAUCUAGAGUGUAAAGGCAUAAGGAAGCUUGACUGUGAGACCUACAAGUCGAGCAGGGACGAAAGUCGGUCUUAGUGAUCUGACGGUGCUG
This 334-nucleotide ribosomal RNA is filed under the name Nitzschia frustulum. RNAcentral's name for it is "bacterial LSU rRNA". It matches the Rfam family "Bacterial large subunit ribosomal RNA", at positions 2098 to 2431 of the family's 2925-position model. The record is from RNAcentral. Lineage: Eukaryota; Bacillariophyta; Bacillariophyceae; Bacillariales; Bacillariaceae.